AAAGAUGAGACAAAUCUAUUAUAAAUGUUGUAUAAGCUUGACAGAGAAAAUUAGAAAUUAGAAAUCAUCAAAGAGGUAGAGAAAGAACAGAAAAACCGUACCAUCUUCUACUAGAGCAACAACUAUUUGAGACAUGAGAAGCACACACUGCAACCCAUUUAUCCUUGGAGUUAGAGACAAAACAAGUGUCUUUUAUCUAAGAUUCUAGGUUUUCAGUCCUUAGUGACAGUACCGGAGUCACCGGUUCAACACCUUAUUCCGGUAGCUCAAGCACCGGUUCGACACCUUCGCCUCCGCCUGAUCCACUCGAACCAACCACUACCGAAAUAGAUUCCACCGCCGCGGGCAUCGCUAACUGAACCGCACAACACAAGCAUAAAAUUUACAUCUAUAUAUCAUUGGAGAAAAUUUUUUCCCACUUAAUCUUUUCUCCAAUGUGGGUAUUUCUCACAAUCUUCAAAAUUUAAAACUAAUCAAAAUUUAGAUAUACCAUUUACUUAAAAUUAAUCCAAAUUUAGGCAUAAUCAACUUCCAUCAAAGAGGUUUACAGAUACAAUAAAAUUGAUUAUAUUUGGUCAAAGGUAAUCUCGCAGUAAUCAAGUUCAAUUCUGUCACUUGGAAAGAGAGGCAGAGUUUCAGAUCAUACAGUCUCUUGAGUCUUAAAAUUUGAUAGAUGGGUGGAGAAAGAGUGGGACAUGUCUGAGUUAAUCAUUGUUAAGGGAAUCUUGGUAAGAAUGAUCUGUUGACGACAUAGAUUGUUUGUGGGUAUGAUUGGUUUCAGUUCCACCGUCGUCGUCAUCGUCAUCAUCAUUUUCUUCAUGAUCGGCUUCACUGGCAGUCUCGAAUUCGUUAAAGGCCGCAACAGUCUAAUCCACUCGAACUAGCCACUGUCAGAACAGAUUUCAUCGCCUCAGGCGCCGCUAACUGAACCGCACGAGCCUGUGAUGAAAAUCCAUCAACGAAUUUCACCAUAGUGGCUUUAGCCGAAGUCUCUUGCUCUUCCUCUCGAUACGCAAAUCUCUAAAUCACUUGGAGCACAGGUUAUUCGUUGUCGCUGUGUCGAUGAAACCGUAACCGUUGGCGCACAGGGCCGACACUGAUGGCUAGAAGCUGAUGUCAUCGUUCUUCCCUUUAGAACUCAUCUUUCUCUCUCUAAAAAUUAAAAGGAUUGAAUAUUAAAU
Molecule: long non-coding RNA, 1181 nt
Filed under: Panax ginseng (ginseng)
Lineage: Eukaryota; Viridiplantae; Streptophyta; Magnoliopsida; Apiales; Araliaceae
Description: long non-coding RNA (PGIN_LNC018123)
Source: RNAcentral